AUUCCUGCUGGUGGCCUAUGUGCCUGAAUAGGCCGGUGACCUGAGGUUGGCAUGCAGCCAAGGCCUUGGCUUGGAUGUAUCAUCAUCAGUGUAGGUCGUCAAAAAUCAACCUGUGUGGUCAAUAAGAUCCCAACCUUGGGGUUAGUAAGCACCCGAGCCAUAGGUUGGAUGUAGGCCGAUGAAAUCAUUUUGACCCAACUCUCCAUGGCAGUCUUUAUGAGUCGUUGGCUGGAGUCAUCGACAUAAGUCUGACCACU
RNAcentral lists this long non-coding RNA (257 nucleotides) under Elaeis guineensis (African oil palm). RNAcentral's name for it is "long non-coding RNA (EGUI_LNC037642)". The record is from RNAcentral. Lineage: Eukaryota; Viridiplantae; Streptophyta; Magnoliopsida; Arecales; Arecaceae.